UAUAUUUGCCGCUCGAAAGAUAAGCUUUCGUGUACAUAACAAUCAUUUACAAUAAUAUUAGAAUG
Regulatory RNA element from Lacinutrix sp. 5H-3-7-4, 65 nucleotides. It matches the Rfam family "S15-Flavobacteria ribosomal protein leader". The record is from Rfam. Lineage: Bacteria; Pseudomonadati; Bacteroidota; Flavobacteriia; Flavobacteriales; Flavobacteriaceae.